RNAcentral lists this ribosomal RNA (230 nucleotides) under uncultured microorganism. RNAcentral's name for it is "partial 16S ribosomal RNA". It matches the Rfam family "Bacterial small subunit ribosomal RNA", at positions 524 to 753 of the family's 1533-position model. The record is from RNAcentral.
UACGUAGGGGGCAAGCGUUAUCCGGAUUUACUGGGUGUAAAGGGAGCGUAGACGGCAUGGUAAGUCUGAAGUGAAAGCCCGGGGCUCAACCCCGGGACUGCUUUGGAAACUAUCAGGCUGGAGUGCAGGAGAGGUAAGUGGAAUUCCUAGUGUAGCGGUGAAAUGCGUAGAUAUUAGGAGGAACACCAGUGGCGAAGGCGGCUUACUGGACUGUAACUGACGUUGAGGCU